RNAcentral lists this ribosomal RNA (497 nucleotides) under uncultured bacterium. RNAcentral describes it as "partial 16S ribosomal RNA". It matches the Rfam family "Bacterial small subunit ribosomal RNA", at positions 28 to 507 of the family's 1533-position model. The record is from RNAcentral.
GACGAACGCUGGCGGCGUGCCUAAUACAUGCAAGUCGAACGCUCAGGCGAGGAGCUUGCUCUUCUUGGGUGAGUUGCGAACGGGUGAGUAACGCGUAGGUAACCUGCCUGUUAGCGUGGGAUAACUUUUGGAAACGAUAGCUAAUACCGCAUAACAACUGUUGUUGCAUGGCUGCUGUUUAAAAGAUGCAUUUGCAUCACUACCAACUGGACUUGCGUUGGAUUAGCUAGUUGGUGAGGUAACGGCUCACCAAGGCGACGAUACAUAGCCGACCUGAGAGGGGGGUCGGCCACACCGGGACCGAGAAACGGCCCAGACUUCUACGGGGGGCAGCAGGAGGGAAACUUCGGCAAUGGGGGGAACGCUGAACGAGGAACGCCGGGGGAGGUAAGAAGGUUCUCGGAUCGGAAAGAUCCGUUGUAAGGGAAGAAAGGGAGUGAGAGUGGAAAGUGCACAUUGUGACGGUAUCUUAUCAGAAAGCGACGGCUAACUACGUG